CCCCUGGUGGUCUAGUGGUUAGGAUGCGGCGCUCUCACCGCCGCAGCCUGGGUUCAAUUCCCGCUCAGGGGA
This 72-nucleotide transfer RNA is filed under the name Manacus vitellinus (golden-collared manakin). It matches the Rfam family "tRNA". From Rfam's summary of the family: Transfer RNA (tRNA) molecules are approximately 80 nucleotides in length. Their secondary structure includes four short double-helical elements and three loops (D, anti-codon, and T loops). Lineage: Eukaryota; Metazoa; Chordata; Aves; Passeriformes; Pipridae. The record is from Rfam by way of RNAcentral.